GUUUGGCAGAGAUCCAGGAAUUGUCCAGGCUGCAUAUACUAAUAAAGAUACCUCUGCCCAAAUCCAGCAGGAAGCAAUUUUAAGAAUACGAGGCUUACAUUCCCAAAGAGGCAGUGUGGGACAUGUUGGCUCCUGGCAGUACCAAUCUACUUCAGAGAAAAUAUGAGCAUUGAAGAAACUGCAUGUGGAGUUGGCUUUAACUGUGGCAAAAGUUAGCCACUGGACAACAAAGUAUCCUCUAAUCAACUGCUGACAAAUAUGACAAAAUAGACAGACAGGACAUGAAACAAAGGACUACCGAUUCUUGCCAAGACAAAUGUGUUUGAGGCUUUAUCAACAGGCAUCCUCUGAGGCCAGAACAAUAUGGUACCAUCCCUGAAGUGGCCUUUGCAAUCUGGAAAAAGUAUAGUGCCCUUUUCUUAGAAAGCAGCUGAACAGGCAGUGUACUGGUGGCUUCUGGUGUGCAGUGGAACAAGCUGAAACAGUUAAUCUUGAAAGAGUAACUGAGCUGAUAGAGUCUAACUUCUCAAUGGCAGGCUGUCAUUUAAUAAAAGAAAUGAAGCCACUCACAAGCCAAAAUGAAUGGACAACUGAAUUAAAAAAAAUCAACAUUUUCCAGAAUUUAUAAUCCAGAAUCAUGACAGGAUACUGGUGGAAUUCAGGUGUUUCUGGUACAUGGACUACUCUCACCAAUGUGAGUUCGAACUGUAGGCCUUUUGUAUAUCAUACUACACAAAUGAGUCUGUCAGAUACCCUAUGCCUAUAGACUGAAGAUGAUGCCCCAAUGUUGCAGAGAAAACUCUGGUGACUGUCCAGGCAGCUGGCUGUUUCCAUUAACUCACAUUUUUUUUUGGAAGCUGCUUGUGUGCACUUCCUGUUUUACUAGUUAAUAUUCUUUACUUCUUGGG
Peromyscus eremicus (cactus mouse) is the source of this 908-nucleotide long non-coding RNA. RefSeq lists it as uncharacterized. The transcript has 3 exons. The record is from RefSeq and is a predicted model, not a curated record. Lineage: Eukaryota; Metazoa; Chordata; Mammalia; Rodentia; Cricetidae.